This 497-nucleotide ribosomal RNA is filed under the name uncultured bacterium. Its description in RNAcentral is "partial 16S ribosomal RNA". It matches the Rfam family "Bacterial small subunit ribosomal RNA", at positions 28 to 507 of the family's 1533-position model. The record is from RNAcentral.
GAUGAACGCUGGCGGCGUGCCUAAUACAUGCAAGUCGAGCGAACGGACGAGAAGCUUGCUUCUCUGAUGUUAGCGGCGGACGGGUGAGUAACACGUGGAUAACCUACCUAUAAGACUGGGAUAACUUCGGGAAACCGGAGCUAAUACCGGAUAAUAUUUUGAACCGCAUGGUUCAAAAGUGAAAGACGGUCUUGCUGUCUCUUAUAGAUGGUUCCGCGCUGCAUUAGCUAGUUGGUAAGGUAACGGCUUACCAAGGCAACGAUGCAUAGCCGACCUGAGAGGGUGAUCGGCCACACUGGAACUGAGACACGGUCCAGACUCCUACGGGAGGCAGCAGUAGGGAAUCUUCCGCAAUGGGCGAAAGCCUGACGGAGCAACGCCGCGUGAGUGAUGAAGGUCUUCGGAUCGUAAAACUCUGUUAUUAGGGAAGAACAUAUGUGUAAGUAACUGUGCACAUCUUGACGGUACCUAAUCAGAAAGCCACGGCUAACUACGUG